Oreochromis aureus is the source of this 458-nucleotide long non-coding RNA. The record is from Ensembl. NCBI's taxonomy places the organism in Eukaryota, Metazoa, Chordata, Actinopteri, Cichliformes, Cichlidae.
AAAAAUGUCAGGUAUCAGACUCAGACGUAAAAAUGUCAGGUCUCAGACUCAGACCAAAAAAUGUCAGGUAUCAGACUCAGACCACAAAAUGUCAGGUCUCAGACUCAGACGUAAAAAUGUCAGGUCUCAGACUCAGACCAAAAAAUGUCAGGUCUCAGACUCAGACCACAAAAUGUCAGGUAUCAGACUCAGACGAAAAAAUGUCAGGUAUCAGACUCAGACCAAAAAAUGUCAGGUAUCAGACUCAGACGAGAAAAUGUCAGGUAUCAGACUCAGACCAAAAAAUGUCAGGUAUCAGACUCAGACGUAAAAAUGUCAGGUCUCAGACUCAGACCAAAAAAUGUCAGGUCUCAGACUCAGACCAAAAAAUGUCAGGUAUCAGACUCAGACCACAAAAUGUCAGGUAUCAGACUCAGACGUAAAAAUGUCAGGUAUCAGACUCAGACCACAAAAUGUCA